Long non-coding RNA from Oncorhynchus tshawytscha (Chinook salmon), 995 nucleotides. Lineage: Eukaryota; Metazoa; Chordata; Actinopteri; Salmoniformes; Salmonidae. The record is from Ensembl.
GUGAUGUUUAUGGGACAUAUAGGAGUGCCAACAAAGAAGCUCGUCAAAGAGUUCCCAGGUGUCUUGAAAGCACAUAAAUCCAGAGAAUGACAGACUUUGAUGACAAAGGAAGGACCGCCCCGCCACCUUCCUGUUCAAGUGAGUGCAGCACAACAAGCACAGCAGCAUCCUUUAUGAGUUGGAGAAUGCUUAACCAGCCAUCCGAAGAGAGGAGCAGAGGCAGCCACUGCGUCAGCGUCAGGACAAUGACCCAACACACCUCCAGGCUGUGUAAGGGCUAUUUUACCAAGAAGGAGAGUGAUGGACUGCUGCAUCAGAUGACCUGGCCUCCACAAUACCCCGACCAGAAAUCAAAUUGAGAUGGUUUGGGAAGAGUCAGAAUGCAGAGUGAAGGAAAUGCAGCCAACAAGUGCUCAGCAUAUGUGGGACCUCCUUCGAGAGUGUUGGAAAAGCAUUCCAGCUGAAGCUGGUUGAGAGAAUGCCUAGAGUGUGGAAAGCUGUCAUCAAGGCAAAGGGUUUCUAGUGCCUUCAACAACAUCCAGCCACAUCUUCGAGCCCGGAAUCUCCAGGUCAUGCAGUUACAUCCUCCCGACAUCGCCUGCGUCACGGACUAACUCACUGACGGGCCAUAGUGGGUCAGACUACAGAACCACUUGGGCUCAGACACCAUCAUCACUAACACAGGUUCCCCACAAGGGACGGUUUUGUCACCAUUCCUCUUCACCCUCUACACAGCAGACUGCCGGCAAGCCCAAGCCUCCUGACACCUACGAAAGUUUUCAGACGAUUUCAGCCAUUAUAUGCUGCAUCACGAAGAAUGACGAUCACCUAUACAGGGGGGGGGGGGAUGUCUUCAUUUGUGGCAUGGUGCAGUCAAAACAACCUGGAGCUGAAGGCAUCAAAAACAAAAGAGCUGGAGAUAGACUUGAGAAGGAAGAAGGAGAGCGCUUUUCCUCUGAUCGGGGUCACCGUGGAAAUGGUAGACUCAUAAAAAU